UUGGAGGAGAUGGCGGACUGGACAGAGGAGAUGGGGCAAGAGUUGGCUUCUUCUUCUUGCUUGGUGCCGGAGCUGGCACGGCAGCCGGAGGAGAAGCGAGUGGUGCUGGUGGUGGAGUGGCUGGCGGUGGUGAGGCUGGAGGAGGAGAUGCUGGGGGUGGGGUGGCCGGGGGAGGUGAAGCUGGUGGUGGGGAAGCCGGAGGUGGAGAUGCAGGUGGUGGGGUGGCCGGUGGGGGAGUUGCUGGUGGUGGACUGGCGGGAGGAGGAGAGGCUGGUGGCGGGGAGCUAACUGGCGGAGGAGUUGCCGGAGGAGGAGAGGACGCGGGAGGUGGGGUGGCUUGCGGAGGAGGAGAGGACGUCACCGGUGGUGGAGAUGAUGUGGGUGGCUGCGAGUUGGCGUUUGGCGGCGGGGUAGUUUGUGCAGGUGGAGCCGGGGUUGCCGUCGGUGACCCGGCGGGAGACUGGCCCCCGACGCCGGCGACGACAAUGCAUAACAAUACAACAAAAAUGCUCGAUUUAUGAACCAUAUUUAACGUGCGCACCCUCUCUCUGCGCUCUGCUUAACCUGCGCACUCCCCGAGCGUUAAACAGAGAGUGUGAAGUGAAGUGAAGUGUUGUGCAGUGCAGCGCAGUGAGUGAAAUUGUGAAGAAAUGAAGACGGGAGGUGAUAGAAUAAAUAGGCGUUUAUUGGGAUCAAGAAAUGAAAGGAAGGUUCGGUGUUACUGGGACACUACCAAACAGAUCUGCGACGUCUGAUUAAUGGGGCCCGGUUGAUGUAUGCGGAGGGGUGGGAUCUGGAGCCACGUGGCGCAGUAAAGGGUUGUGCUGCUGCUACAGGUGAAAAGAACGGACAAGACAUGUGACUAAGUGAAUAAUGGGAGACCGUAGAUUUUUAAUACUUUUUAGUUGGGUGGUCAUCGAUGAUGAUAAUUGAUUCUUUGUUAGUUGCCAUCAUCAUUUUUUUUUGUUAAUUUAUUUAUUUU
Molecule: long non-coding RNA, 982 nt
Filed under: Citrus maxima (pomelo)
Lineage: Eukaryota; Viridiplantae; Streptophyta; Magnoliopsida; Sapindales; Rutaceae
Description: long non-coding RNA (CMAX_LNC003287)
Source: RNAcentral